Molecule: ribosomal RNA, 206 nt
Filed under: uncultured bacterium
Lineage: Bacteria
Description: partial 16S ribosomal RNA
Rfam family: Bacterial small subunit ribosomal RNA
Source: RNAcentral
UGCGUAGGCGGCGCGGUAAGUCGGGUGUGAAAUCUCGGAGCUUAACUCCGAAACUGCAUUCGAUACUGCCGCGCUUGAGGACUGGAGAGGAGACUGGAAUUUACGGUGUAGCGGUGAAAUGCGUAGAUAUCGUAAGGAAGACCAGUGGCGAAGGCGGGUCUCUGGACAGUUCCUGACGCUGAGGCACGAAGGCCAGGGAGCAAACG